CACUGUCCACAGACGAAAAGUUUACGCUCGGGAAUUCGGAAUCGCGAUGCAUUUUAGCCGUCCGGUUUUGCUCGAUUUGAUAAAUUCAUCCCCAAAAGUAUGGUGUAAAAUCUAUAAACCGCGAAACAUAAAUUGCAAAACAUUAGAAACCCAUCGACUACACAUCGAGGAAAUGGCGGCUGAAAACUCGCCCCGCUGGGGGGAAAUUUUGCAUUCCAGCAACGAAUCAAUCAAGUGCGUCCGGCCGGUCCAGCCCGGCUGGUGGUGUUUAAAGCUCCUUCGACCAGCCCCGUUGGCCUCGCGUGCAGAAUAUUCCAAAAGAAAAGGAACUUUGCAAUGGAACCAAUCGGAUCUCAACCAUCAUCGCAUUUCUCGCACCGGGAGUGUAUUAAAUGGCCCUACAUUGCCAAUUGCCUUUCCACGAGGAUAUGGUAUUAAUAUUGUAUGUGAUGUUUGAAAUUGUGAAAACACAACGAAAAAAUCAAUAAAAAGUGUUGUUUUCAAAACCUUA
Molecule: long non-coding RNA, 511 nt
Organism: Uranotaenia lowii
Lineage: Eukaryota; Metazoa; Arthropoda; Insecta; Diptera; Culicidae
Exons: 2
Source: RefSeq, a predicted model, not a curated record